AUCUGAUUAUUAAAAAAGACAGCAAAAACCCCUUUGCAAAGUAGAGACAAUCUGCAGUAUUUUUUGCUGGUCAUAUUCCAUUUUAUUGUGUAACUUUAUGGACGCUGGAUCACGUGGUGAUGUGGUGGUUCACUUCAACACUGUAGCUUCGAGCUUUCUGGUUUUCACUGCUGAAUCAGUUGUUAUCUUGGAUAAAUCAUUCAAAACUAUUAAACACCUGUCAGCUUUUCUUUGAAGUCGCUUUUUUAGUUUUUCCUAAAAUGUGUAUUUAUUCAGGGAGCGCCGUGGAUGAAAGUCGGUGGCCCAAAUAACGUCCACACACCGUGACCUCCCAUCGGGAACUGGGCACCACUAACUGUCAUUGGUGACUCAGUACCCGCGUUAAUGCCACACCGCUAGUUACUGCUCAUCCCGGCGGAUUUGACAUUUACACGUUUUUCCGCUGUUAAACAACAGGACUGUCAGUAAACAUUUCUCAGACCAUUCAGGCCCUUUUCCGCGAAUACCUUCGUCGUGGGCUCAGCCGGCGGACGCUCGUAUUUUAUUUCAGCAUAUGCCAACGUUUGGAUGAAAGUCAAACAAGUAUAAUCUGCGCCCCUUGACUUCCUAAAUACGAGUGCUUCUAAUCUUCAUUAGCAACACUUGCCAGUAAGCACGACCUUCGCAGCAGUGUGUUAACGCACGUGUGUGUGUGUGUAGCUGGCGUUUUCCUACAAGUUUCCACGCUUAAUCUGAUAACACAGACCCUGCAGUUUCCCUUCCUCCUCACUUCAGCUCCGUCUCUCCUCUCUAAAGAGUUGACCUUGUGUAUCGGUGUCCGUCAGCAGUUUAACGGACCGGCGGAUAUUCUAAUCAGGACUCGCAAAUACUAACCGAGCUGGUGGCCCGUGAAACCAGAACUCUGAUCAUUAACACUGUUGACAUCUAAAAAGGACGAAAACAGCGGGUUAAUGUCCCUCGACACCCUCGGUGCGGAGUACUACGGGUACUGGCUGGAAACUAUGUUUAGCAAUGCUGCUGGAAAAAGUUGAUAAUAAACCCCUGGUCUUUCUCAGUGAAUGGUUUGCAAAUACGUCGGUCUUUGUGUAGAUUUUACCUAAACGCACACCUACCGUGGACGGGCUAUAGCGCAUGUGUUUGUGCUCUGUCGUUCUACGUUUAUGGACGACGGACGAGCAUGCGAGUUAAGAACAAAGCUGCAGACGAGUCUUUGCCAUUAGCCUAUAGCUAGCUUAGCCAAAGACGGGAAACUGCUAACUUGGCUAGCUCUCAAAGCCACAAGUUGGGUAUUUAUGAAUCCGUUUGCACACAAAUCAAACUGCGUGUACAACGUGUGAAUUGAUGUUUCAGAUAUGUUGGCUCAAGGAAACAAUUUCCCUCCUUCUACUCUUCAAGCUAAGCUAAGUCAAACACAUCCACUCUAGUUCACAAUUGCAUGCACAGAAAUUAGUGUUUCCCCUGAAAUAAUGUCCAAUUCUCCCUUUAACUAGCUGUGGUUAAAGUAUUCAUUGGCAAGAAUCUGGAAAUUUAGGUUUUAUGAUUGAGGAAUUAUGAUUUGAUCUAGCAAUAAAUUGCAAUAGUGAAUUUGAUUCAGUAACACAAAACACGAUCAUGCAAUACUCAAAAUAUCAAUAUUUUCUUACACUCACUGCUGACGACAUUUACAGACUAGAAAAGCUGCUGGUUCUGAGACGGACUUUAAAAAGUCAGACAGGAUUUAACAAGACAUUUUGGAGGUUUCACUUUGCUCCAUACGGCUCUAAAUUUAUUGCCUUCUUUUUUUCUCCAUUUUCUGCUCUCUGUAACAAUAUUUAUUCAUUCAUAAGAUUUUGUGGAGUGAUUUAUCACAUUAAAAUAGAAUAGUCUUCCUCCCUUUUCUCUUCCCCUCGCUCCCAUUUUGAGUUUGACUCCACACCGCUGCCCUGUAAUGUAUUUGCGGGAUGGGCCGAAAAUACAGGAAGUCGCUCCCUGAGGUCUCCAUGGCAACCCUGAGGUCAGCCGUGCGAGGCCGGAGACCCCUCCUCGAAAACAAAGAGCUCAGAGGCCUGGAUCAACACAAACAACCCUGACACACACACACACACACACACACACACAUUUCGACUGACUAAAGGACGUCCUGUGAAACCUCUGCAGCAGCAGCAGCACAUGAGCAGUUUUCAGUGUGAAAACUACUGUAAAUCCCGUGGGAAGAUGUAAAUGAUGCCUGCUGCAUAGUCUAGUUUAGAAGGACCACAUCAACUUUUUCUGAUUAACAAUCCUUUGAGUGGUCUUCUGCUACGUGCUGAAACUUUACACGAGCACGGGAUGAGUAAAUUAUCUUUACAUUUUAAAACAAAGAGACAAGAAUAGAUGAUAACUUUAGGCUGGGUUGUAAAAGGAACUGAAAUUUAACGCAGAAGCUAUGCACUAUGUAAAUAGUUUUCACAAGGAGUGAUCGUGGUGUGCAGUAUGAAAAUGUUCCUCGAUAUGCACAAGCGAAUCUUUCUACAACCACCGCACAGAGAGCCGAAGAUGGACAAGCAACAAAAAGGCCACAACUUGAGUCCCCCUCGCCUGCCCCGGACCACCCU
Molecule: long non-coding RNA, 2573 nt
Organism: Gasterosteus aculeatus aculeatus (three-spined stickleback)
Lineage: Eukaryota; Metazoa; Chordata; Actinopteri; Perciformes; Gasterosteidae
Source: Ensembl